CCUACGGGUGGCUGCAGUGAGGAAUAUUGGUCAAUGGGAGAGAUCCUGAACCAGCCAAGCCGCGUGAGGGAAGACGGCCCUGUGGGUUGUAAACCUCUUUUGUCGGAGAACAAAACCCGGGACGUGUCCCGGACUGCGUGUACCCGAAGAAAAAGCAUCGGCUAACUCCGUGCCAGCAGCCGCGGUAAUACGUAGGGGGCAAGCGUUAUCCGGAUUUACUGGGUGUAAAGGGAGCGUAGACGGCCGGGCAAGGCUGGAGUGAAAGGCAGGGGCCCAACCCCUGGACUGCUCUGGAAACUGUCCGGCUGGAGUGCAGGAGAGGUAAGUGGAAUUCCUAGUGUAGCGGUGAAAUGCGUAGAUAUUAGGAAGAACCCCAGUGGCGAAGGCGGCUUGCUGGACUGUAACUGACGUUGAGGCUCGAAAGCGUGGGGAGCGAACAGGAUUAGAUACCCCUGUAGUC
Molecule: ribosomal RNA, 460 nt
Filed under: uncultured bacterium
Lineage: Bacteria
Description: partial 16S ribosomal RNA
Rfam family: Bacterial small subunit ribosomal RNA
Source: RNAcentral